Molecule: long non-coding RNA, 206 nt
Filed under: Gossypium barbadense (sea-island cotton)
Lineage: Eukaryota; Viridiplantae; Streptophyta; Magnoliopsida; Malvales; Malvaceae
Description: long non-coding RNA (GBAR_LNC011356)
Source: RNAcentral
AAGAGAGCACUCGCGUCGUCAACACUCACGAUGCCUACUUCUUAUGGUGUAAGUCGCACGGGCACGUCAUCGACCUUUCCUAUUUCAUCGCCCUCGCGAUUCAGCACCAGACGGAGCGGCAUAGGAAGGUGGUCAUCUCCAUUGACCCCGAUAUGACUCAAAUGGAGUGGCACUUCGGGCUCCUCAACACCGCGGCCCAAGAAUCA